RNAcentral lists this ribosomal RNA (557 nucleotides) under uncultured bacterium. Its description in RNAcentral is "bacterial SSU rRNA". It matches the Rfam family "Bacterial small subunit ribosomal RNA", at positions 102 to 694 of the family's 1533-position model. The record is from RNAcentral.
ACGGGUGAGUAACGCGUGGGAAUCUACCGUGCCCUGCGGAAUAGCUCCGGGAAACUGGAAUUAAUACCGCAUACGCCCUACGGGGGAAAGAUUUAUCGGGGUAUGAUGAGCCCGCGUUGGAUUAGCUAGUUGGUGGGGUAAAGGCCUACCAAGGCGACGAUCCAUAGCUGGUCUGAGAGGAUGAUCAGCCACAUUGGGACUGAGACACGGCCCAAACUCCUACGGGAGGCAGCAGUGGGGAAUAUUGGACAAUGGGCGCAAGCCUGAUCCAGCCAUGCCGCGUGAGUGAUGAAGGCCUUAGGGUUGUAAAGCUCUUUCACCGGAGAAGAUAAUGACGGUAUCCGGAGAAGAAGCCCCGGCUAACUUCGUGCCAGCAGCCGCGGUAAUACGAAGGGGGCUAGCGUUGUUCGGAAUUACUGGGCGUAAAGCGCACGCAGGCGGAUAUUUAAGUCAGGGGUGAAAUCCCAGAGCUCAACUCUGGAACUGCCCUUGAUACUGGGUAUCUUGAGUAUGGAAGAGGUAAGUGGAAUUCCGAGUGUAGAGGUGAAAUUCGUAGA